GGAGGUAUAGAUCAAUGGUAGAGCGUGUGCUUAGCAUGCAGGAGGUCCUGGGUUCAAUCCCCAGUGCCUCCC
RNAcentral lists this transfer RNA (72 nucleotides) under Camelus bactrianus (Bactrian camel). It matches the Rfam family "tRNA". Rfam says of the family: Transfer RNA (tRNA) molecules are approximately 80 nucleotides in length. Their secondary structure includes four short double-helical elements and three loops (D, anti-codon, and T loops). Further hydrogen bonds mediate the characteristic L-shaped molecular structure. tRNAs have two regions of fundamental functional importance: the anti-codon, which is responsible for specific mRNA codon recognition, and the 3' end, to which the tRNAs corresponding amino acid is attached (by aminoacyl-tRNA synthetases). tRNAs cope with the degeneracy of the genetic code in two manners: having more than one tRNA (with a specific anti-codon) for a particular amino acid; and 'wobble' base-pairing, i.e. permitting non-standard base-pairing at the 3rd anti-codon position. RNAcentral also lists the same sequence under 1 other name. Lineage: Eukaryota; Metazoa; Chordata; Mammalia; Artiodactyla; Camelidae. The record is from Rfam by way of RNAcentral.